GAUCUGGCUCAGGAUGAACGCUGGCGGCGUGCCUAACACAUGCAAGUCGAACGGAGCUGCUUUGAUGAAGUUUUCGGAUGGAUUUAAAACAGCUUAGUGGCGGACGGGUGAGUAACGCGUGGGUAACCUGCCUCACACUGGGGGAUAACAGUUAGAAAUAGCUGCUAAUACCGCAUAAGCGCACAGUUCCGCAUGGAACGGUGUGAAAAACUCCGGUGGUGUGAGAUGGACCCGCGU
RNAcentral lists this ribosomal RNA (237 nucleotides) under uncultured bacterium. RNAcentral's name for it is "partial 16S ribosomal RNA". It matches the Rfam family "Bacterial small subunit ribosomal RNA", at positions 15 to 236 of the family's 1533-position model. The record is from RNAcentral.